UCCCAUGGUGUGUUCAAAUGUGUCAUAUC
This 29-nucleotide non-coding RNA is filed under the name Mus musculus (house mouse). Lineage: Eukaryota; Metazoa; Chordata; Mammalia; Rodentia; Muridae. The record is from RNAcentral.